CCUACGGGUGGCAGCAGUGGGGAAUAUUGGGCAAUGGGCGCACGCCUGACCCAGCAACGCCGCGUGAAGGAAGAAGGCUUUCGGGUUGUUAACUUUCUUUAAGCGGGAAGAGCAGAAGACGGUACCUCUCGAAUAAGCCACGGCUCACUACGUGACAGCAGCCGCGGUAAUACGUAGGUGGCAAGCGGUGUCCGGAUUUAGUGGGUUUAAAGGGAGUGUAGGCCGGUCUUUAAGCCUGCCGUGAAAUUUUGUGGCUCAAACAUGAGAGUGCGGCGCAAACUGGAGACCUUGAGGGCGCGGGAGGCAGGCGGAAUGCGUGGUGUAGCGGUGAAAUGCUUAGAUAUCACGAAGAACCCCGAUUGCGAAGGCAGCCUGCCGCAGCGUUACUGACGCUGAAGCUCGAAAGCGCGGGUAUCGAACAGGAUUAGAUACCCGUGUAGUC
RNAcentral lists this ribosomal RNA (442 nucleotides) under uncultured bacterium. RNAcentral's name for it is "partial 16S ribosomal RNA". It matches the Rfam family "Bacterial small subunit ribosomal RNA", at positions 338 to 795 of the family's 1533-position model. The record is from RNAcentral.